Molecule: long non-coding RNA, 1534 nt
Organism: Epinephelus fuscoguttatus (brown-marbled grouper)
Lineage: Eukaryota; Metazoa; Chordata; Actinopteri; Perciformes; Serranidae
Exons: 3
Source: RefSeq, a predicted model, not a curated record
AAAUAGGUGGGGGGCUUAAGGGAUACUAUGAGGUGUGCAUUAAUUUUGAAAAUGGAAUCGAUAUACGGUCAUAGCUAUAGACUCAUGUCUAUGAUUUUGAACCACAGGGUCAGCUGAACGAGGAGAUGGGGCAUGCUGUCCCUGUGUGGCAUGUUCAUGCCCAUGCCACCUCAUGGCUGGGAAUAGGAUGACAAGCAAUGAAGGGGAGCAGAAGAGGGCAUUAGAGAAGAGCAAGGCUCUCUUUCUUCUGAAAAGAUACCCCUCCACUGAGGAGAAGUCUGAGCUGUUAGUGAGGGGCUUCAGAUGAAGACUGUGAACAAAUGGUUCAUUAAUUACAGAUACACCAUGUUUCUUGAACUGCGGAGGCGGGCAGUUAAGAAAAUAACAAUGGAGAGCACGGAGGCCGAUGUGGACCGCUUGGUGACGAGGGGCACAAACCUGGCCUUUGCCCACCUCCUUGGUAAUGGGAGAGUGCUGAAUGAGUCCUGCAGGGACACUGUGAAAACAUACCUGCAGGCUUGGCUCAAGGCCCUAAGGGGGGGAAAGGACCCCAAUGCCGAGGCCAUUAAGGCAGUCCAGGACAUGAAGAGUGCCUAGGGUGUGUGUGUGUGUGUGUGUGUGUGUGUGCGUGUGCGUGUGUGUGCGUGUGUGUUCAAACUUCAAAUAGAAUUUAAUUCAAUCUUUUGAAGUUUUUAAUUUGUUUGAAUGUAUUUUUUGAAUCGUUCAUUGUAUUCCCUAGAUUAAUUCAUUUAAAUUCAUAUUUAUUCAAUUGAAUGAUAAAAUAUUAUAUCAUUCUUUAUUUAUUACAUAUUUUUGUAUAGAUCAGUAUAAAUGUAUUGUUAUUGUAUAUUUAAAAUUGAUUAUUCUAUGAUACUUUUCUAUGAUAUUCAUUUAAUUCAAUAAUUUAUUCAUUAAACACUUUUAUAAACUUAAUUUCACCUCCUGUUUAUGUUCAUCUUCUGUUGAAAACAAUUGUUAUAUAAAAAAAAAAUCACAGUACAUUACCAUAUCCUUCUUCAUUUGAAGCAGUAUUUUACAUUUUUAACUUGUUCAUUCAGUUAUUGUUUGUUUGUUUUUACCUUAUUAAUCCCAUUACGCAGGGCUCUCAAGGAAAUUAAAAAUAAUGCAAGUUAAAUAUUGAAAAAAUAAGUAAUUAUCAUUUACACUCCAAUAACAUUAUAUAAGAUUUUACAGUAAAAUAUAAAUAGACCAUUAUCAUAUUAUCAUCAUAAUACUCCAGUUGAAACAAGAUAGCUUGACCAUGUCUUUGAGACAUGCAUACCAAUAUCUGAAGCCGUCUUAAAAUGGGAAUGUCUUAAGCCAAAGGAAAUAUGUCUUAAGAUGUCUUAAGACACUCAGUGUCUUCAAGACACAAAAAUCUGUCUGGGUGCAUCCCAUGUGCUGCUCUGGCAUGUCUUGAGACAUGGGUGGCGUCUUCAAUUUUUUGUCUUAAGAUGUCUUAAGACGUCUUGAUGUACAAAAAUGUCUUGAGACGUCUUGAUUUCUGUCACUAAGACAUCUUGAGACACUUUGA